AGUGAACGCUGGCGGUAGGCCUAACACAUGCAAGUCGAACGGCAGCACAGUAAGAGCUUGCUCUUACGGGUGGCGAGUGGCGGACGGGUGAGGAAUACAUCGGAACCUACUUUUUCGUGGGGGAUAACGUAGGGAAACUUACGCUAAUACCGCAUACGACCUACGGGUGAAAGCAGGGGAUCUUCGGACCUUGCGCGAUUGAAUGAGCCGAUGUCGGAUUAGCUAGUUGGCGGGGUAAAGGCCCACCAAGGCGACGAUCCGUAGCUGGUCUGAGAGGAUGAUCAGCCACACUGGAACUGAGACACGGUCCAGACUCCUACGGGAGGCAGCAGUGGGGAAUAUUGGACAAUGGGCGCAAGCCUGAUCCAGCCAUGCCGCGUGGGUGAAGAAGGUCUUCGGGUUGUAAAGCCCUUUUGUUGGGAAAGAAAAGCAGCAGGUUAAUACCCCGCUGUUCUGACGGUACCCAAAGAAUAAGCACCGGCUAACUUCGUG
This 492-nucleotide ribosomal RNA is filed under the name uncultured bacterium. RNAcentral's name for it is "partial 16S ribosomal RNA". It matches the Rfam family "Bacterial small subunit ribosomal RNA", at positions 29 to 507 of the family's 1533-position model. The record is from RNAcentral.